UCUCCGUAGGUGAACCUGCGGAGGGAUCAUUACAAGUGACCCCGGUCUUACCACCGGGAUGUUCAUAACCCUUUGUUGUCCGACUCUGUUGCCUCCGGGGCGACCCUGCCUUCGGGCGGGGGCUCCGGGUGGACACUUCAGACUCUUGCGUAACUUUGCAGUCUGGGUAAACUUAAUUAAUAAAUUAAAACUUUUAACAACGGAUCUCUUGGUUCUG
This 217-nucleotide unclassified non-coding RNA is filed under the name plant metagenome. RNAcentral's name for it is "partial contains small subunit ribosomal RNA, internal transcribed spacer 1, and 5.8S ribosomal RNA". The record is from RNAcentral.